GAUGAACGCUGGCGGCGUGGAUAAGGCAUGCAAGUCAAGGGGUCGCCUUCGGGCGACACCGGCGAACGGGUUAGUAACACGUAGGUAACGAACCCCAGAGGCGGGCAUAAUCCGUCGAAAGGCGGGCUAAUUCCCGAAGUCCCCCCACCAUAAAAAUGGUGAGGGGUAAAAGGAAGCUUUGCAACCACUCUGGGAUCGACCUGCGGCCUAUCAGCUUGUUGGUAGAGUAACGGUCUACCAAGGCUUUGACGGGUAGGGGGCGUGAGAGCGUGUUCCCCAACACUAGCACUGCGACACGGGCUAGACUCCUACGGGAGGCAGCAGUCGAGAAUAUUGGGCAAUGGGCGAAAGCCUGACCCAGCGACGCCGCGUGCUCGAAGAAGCCCUUCGGGGUGUAAAGAGCUUUUCUGGAGGAAGAACCCUUCGGGGUGACGGUACUCCAGGAAUAAAGGGAUGCAAAUCACGUGCCAGCAGCCGCGGUAAAACGUGAUCCCUAAGCGUUAUCCGGAUUUAUUGGGCGUAAAGCGUUCGUAGGCGGUUUGGUAAGUUUGGUGUUAAAGACCUCGAGCUCAACUUGAGGAAUGCAUCAGAAACUGCCAGACUAGAGGGCGUUAGAGGAGGAUGGAAUACUCGGUGUAGGGGUGAAAUCCGUUGAUAUCGAGUGGAACACCAAAAGCGAAGGCAUUCCUCUGGGGCGACCCUGACGCUGAGGGACGAAAGCGUGGGGAGCAAAAAGGAUUAGAUACCCUUGUAGUCCACGCCGUAAACGAUGGACACUAGCUAUUUGAAGUGUCGACCCUUCAAGUGGCGUAGCUAACGCGUUAAGUGUCCCGCCUGGGAAGACGACGGCAACGUU
This 856-nucleotide ribosomal RNA is filed under the name uncultured bacterium. RNAcentral describes it as "bacterial SSU rRNA". It matches the Rfam family "Bacterial small subunit ribosomal RNA", at positions 28 to 895 of the family's 1533-position model. The record is from RNAcentral.